AUAUGGACCUCGGAUCAGGUAGGGAUACCC
This 30-nucleotide ribosomal RNA is filed under the name Cookeina colensoi. RNAcentral describes it as "partial 25S ribosomal RNA". The record is from RNAcentral. Lineage: Eukaryota; Fungi; Ascomycota; Pezizomycetes; Pezizales; Sarcoscyphaceae.